This 1021-nucleotide ribosomal RNA is filed under the name uncultured bacterium. Its description in RNAcentral is "bacterial SSU rRNA". It matches the Rfam family "Bacterial small subunit ribosomal RNA", at positions 357 to 1376 of the family's 1533-position model. The record is from RNAcentral.
AGGAAUAUUGGUCAAUGGGCGCGAGCCUGAACCAGCCAAGUCGCGUGAGGGAAGACGGCCCUACGGGUUGUAAACCUCUUUUGUCGGGGAGCAAGGACUGCCACGAGUGGCAGGGCGAGAGUACCCGAAGAAAAAGCAUCGGCUAACUCCGUGCCAGCAGCCGCGGUAAUACGGAGGAUGCGAGCGUUAUCCGGAUUUAUUGGGUUUAAAGGGUGCGUAGGCGGAAGUUCAAGUCAGCGGUAAAAUCGAGGGGCUCAACCCCUUUAAGCCGUUGAAACUGGGUUUCUUGAGUGGGCGAGAAGUGUGCGGAAUGUGUGGUGUAGCGGUGAAAUGCAUAGAUAUCACACAGAACUCCGAUUGCGAAGGCAGCACACCGGCGCCCAACUGACGCUGAGGCACGAAAGCGUGGGGAUCAAACAGGAUUAGAUACCCUGGUAGUCCACGCAGUAAACGAUGAACACUAGGUGUGCGGGUCGAAUGAGAUCUGCGUGCCACAGCGAAAGCGUUAAGUGUUCCACCUGGGGAGUACGCCGGCAACGGUGAAACUCAAAGGAAUUGACGGGGGCCCGCACAAGCGGAGGAACAUGUGGUUUAAUUCGAUGAUACGCGAGGAACCUUACCCGGGCUCAAACGGCAGAGGAAAGUUUUUGAAAGGAGGCUGCUCUACGGAGUCUCUGCCGAGGUGCUGCAUGGUUGUCGUCAGCUCGUGCCGUGAGGUGUCGGCUUAAGUGCCAUAACGAGCGCAACCCCUACCGCCAGUUGCCAUCAGGUAAAGCUGGGGACUCUGGCGGGACUGCCGGCGCAAGCUGUGAGGAAGGCGGGGAUGACGUCAAAUCAGCACGGCCCUUACGUCCGGGGCGACACACGUGUUACAAUGGCAGGUACAGCGGGAAGCCACCGAGCGAUCGGGAGCAGAACCCGAAAACCUGUCUCAGUUCGGAUUGGAGUCUGCAACUCGACUCCAUGAAGCUGGAUUCGCUAGUAAUCGCGCAUCAGCCAUGGCGCGGUGAAUACGUUCCCG